RNAcentral lists this ribosomal RNA (312 nucleotides) under uncultured bacterium. RNAcentral's name for it is "bacterial SSU rRNA". It matches the Rfam family "Bacterial small subunit ribosomal RNA", at positions 222 to 526 of the family's 1533-position model. The record is from RNAcentral.
GGGAAGAGCCUACGUCUGAUUAGCUAGUUGGUAGGGUAAAGGCCUACCAAGGCGACGAUCAGUAGCUGGUCUGAGAGGACGACCAGCCACACUGGGACUGAGACACGGCCCAGACUCCUACGGGAGGCAGCAGUGGGGAAUUUUUCGCAAUGGGGGCAACCCUGACGAAGCAAUGCCGCGUGGAUGAAGAAGGCCUUCGGGUUGUAAAGUCCUUUCGUGGGGGACGAAAAGGUGGUUCCUAAUACGAGCUGCUGUUGACGUGAACCCAAGAAGAAGCACCGGCUAACUCCGUGCCAGCCGCCGCAGUAACAC